UACGUAGGGGGCAAGCGUUGUCCGGAAUCAUUGGGCGUAAAGCGCGUGUAGGCGGCUCGGUAAGUCCGCUGUGAAAGCCCGGGGCUCAACCCCGGGAGGCGGGUGGAUACUGCUGAGCUCGAGUCCGGAAGAGGAGUGUGGAAUUCCUGGUGUAGCGGUGAAAUGCGCAGAUAUCAGGAGGAACACCAAUGGCGAAGGCAGCUCUCUGGGACGGUACUGACGCUGAGACGCGAAAGCGUAGGGAGCAAACAGG
RNAcentral lists this ribosomal RNA (253 nucleotides) under uncultured bacterium. RNAcentral's name for it is "partial 16S ribosomal RNA". It matches the Rfam family "Bacterial small subunit ribosomal RNA", at positions 524 to 776 of the family's 1533-position model. The record is from RNAcentral.